AUUGAACGCUGGCGGCAUGCUUCACACAUGCAAGUCGAACGGCAGCGCGGGGCAACCUGGCGGCGAGUGGCGAACGGGUGAGUAAUAUAUCGGAACGUACCCAGAAGUGGGGGAUAACGUAGCGAAAGUUACGCUAAUACCGCAUACGAUCUACGGAUGAAAGUAGGGGACCGCAAGGCCUUAUGCUUUUGGAGCGGCCGAUAUCUGAUUAGCUAGUUGGCGAGGUAAAGGCUCACCAAGGCGACGAUCAGUAGCUGGUCUGAGAGGACGACCAGCCACACUGGAACUGAGACACGGUCCAGACUCCUACGGGAGGCAGCAGUGGGGAAUUUUGGACAAUGGGCGCAAGCCUGAUCCAGCAAUGCCGCGUGAGUGAAGAAGGCCUUCGGGUUGUAAAGCUCUUUUGUCAGGGAAGAAACGGUAGAGGCUAAUAUCCUUUGCUAAUGACGGUACCUGAAGAAUAAGCACCGGCUAACUACGUG
Molecule: ribosomal RNA, 482 nt
Filed under: uncultured bacterium
Lineage: Bacteria
Description: partial 16S ribosomal RNA
Rfam family: Bacterial small subunit ribosomal RNA
Source: RNAcentral